AUUGAACGCUGGCGGCAGGCCUAACACAUGCAAGUCGAACGGUAACAGAAAGCAGCUUGCUGCUUUGCUGACGAGUGGCGGACGGGUGAGUAAUGUCUGGGAAACUGCCUGAUGGAGGGGGAUAACUACUGGAAACGGUAGCUAAUACCGCAUAACGUCGCAAGACCAAAGAGGGGGACCUUCGGGCCUCUUGCCAUCGGAUGUGCCUAGAUGGGAUUAGCUAGUAGGUGGGGUAACGGCUCACCUAGGCGACGAUCCCUAGCUGGUCUGAGAGGAUGACCAGCCACACUGGAACUGAGACACGGUCCAGACUCCUGCGGGAGGCAGCAGUGGGGAAUAUUGCACAAUGGGCGCAAGACUGAUGCAGCCAUGCCGAGUGUAUGAAGAAGGCCUUCGGGUUGUAAAGUACUUUCAGCGGGGAGGAAGGGAGUAAAGUUAAUACCUUUGCUCAUUGACGUUACCCGCAGAAGAAGCACCGGCUAACUCCGUG
RNAcentral lists this ribosomal RNA (490 nucleotides) under uncultured bacterium. RNAcentral's name for it is "partial 16S ribosomal RNA". It matches the Rfam family "Bacterial small subunit ribosomal RNA", at positions 30 to 507 of the family's 1533-position model. The record is from RNAcentral.